GCGAUUUCUCGACACGUUCU
Molecule: non-coding RNA, 20 nt
Filed under: Arabidopsis thaliana (thale cress)
Lineage: Eukaryota; Viridiplantae; Streptophyta; Magnoliopsida; Brassicales; Brassicaceae
Source: RNAcentral